AUGAAUUAUCAGGCCAGCACUAAUAAGAAGGUGCAACAUGAAAGUCAGCUCUCUGCCAAGAAGGACGACAAACUCUUCUUUAACGAUGAGGACAAAGAAAUACUUUAUCAGAUUAAAAGCCUAGCGGCUCUGGAAAGAAUCAUUGAAAAUCUCCGGAAAUCUUUAGGGAGUUCGCUCAUGAAAAGAAGAAAGAAGUAUAAACAUUUGUUCAGGGGAGACAAAUACCGCGAGCGGAGAGCCUAGACUGAGAACCCAGGACCACUCGAGGGACUGCCCACUCACCCCCACCACUAGGAAGACAGACAGAGAAGAGUUACUAACCAUUCUGUAUAAAGAAGAACCGUAUUAUUCAAGGAGUGCCAAAUAAAAUGAACCUAUUUAAAUAUUAAGUUAGAGGCAAUGUGGUUCUUUUCCCUUAAACAAAAAAAGGAAUGAAAAUCUAAUUGAGCCUGAAAAAUAGGAAUGUCCAAAGCUCCUACUGCCUACCAGGAGGAGCUUUGGAAAAAAACGUAACCUCAGAGACUGUGCCACCGUCAGGCUUCUCCAGAGGAGCAGAACCUACAAGACGGGAGUAGAAAGUAGAAAGAUCGGAAAAUAAUCAAGAGG
This is a long non-coding RNA of Bubalus bubalis (water buffalo), 606 nucleotides long. RefSeq lists it as uncharacterized. NCBI's taxonomy places the organism in Eukaryota, Metazoa, Chordata, Mammalia, Artiodactyla, Bovidae. The transcript has 3 exons. The record is from RefSeq and is a predicted model, not a curated record.